AACGAACGCUGGCGGCAUGCCUAACACAUGCAAGUCGAACGAGACCUUCGGGUCUAGUGGCGCACGGGUGCGUAACGCGUGGGAACCUGCCCUUAGGAUCGGAAUAACUCCCCGAAAGGGGUGCUAAUAACGGAUAAUGUCUUCGGACUAAAGAUUUAUCGCCUUUGGGUGGGGCCGCGUUGGAUUAGCUAGUUGUUAGGGUAAAAGGCUACCAAGGCGACGCGGCAUAGCUGGUCUGAGAGGAUGAUCAGCCACACUGGGACUGAGACACGGCCGAGACUGCUACGGGAGGCAGCAGUGGGGAAUAUUGGAGAAUGGGCGAAGGGCUGAUCAAGCAGUGCCGCGUGAGUGAUGAAGGCCUUAGGGUUGUAAAGCUCUUUUACCCGGGAUGAUAAUGACAGUACCGGGAGAAUAAGCUCCGGCUAACUCCGUG
Molecule: ribosomal RNA, 433 nt
Filed under: uncultured bacterium
Lineage: Bacteria
Description: partial 16S ribosomal RNA
Rfam family: Bacterial small subunit ribosomal RNA
Source: RNAcentral